Molecule: long non-coding RNA, 240 nt
Filed under: Elaeis guineensis (African oil palm)
Lineage: Eukaryota; Viridiplantae; Streptophyta; Magnoliopsida; Arecales; Arecaceae
Description: long non-coding RNA (EGUI_LNC000994)
Source: RNAcentral
UCACAAGAUAGACAGCUACAUACAGUCACACAUGAGCAUGCAUCAAUCCUGUGAGGUCUCACGCGAUCGUCCAUUGUACGAUGGACGAUGGAUGGUGCAUGCUGUCACAACAGAAGAUGCAUGUUCUGAAAUAUAAAAGAUGAAUAGAUGAGACAGGGAUAGGAUAUUAAAAGAUAAAUAAAAAAAUAAUUAAUAAAAAAAAAGAAAAAAAAGGUAAAAAAAUCAAAAUGAUGUGAGAGA